RNAcentral lists this long non-coding RNA (202 nucleotides) under Homo sapiens (human). RNAcentral describes it as "non-protein coding lnc-CAPN15-4:1". The record is from RNAcentral. Lineage: Eukaryota; Metazoa; Chordata; Mammalia; Primates; Hominidae.
CGGGAGACCCGAGGCCGCCCAGAGCCCUCCCCGGGAGACCCGAGGCCGCCCAGGGCCCUCCCCGGGAGACCCGAGGCCGCCCAGGGCCCUUCCCGGGGAGACCCGAGGCCGCCCAGGGCCCUCCCGGGAGACCCGAGGCCGCCCAGGGCCCUCCCGGGAGACCCGAGGCCGUCCAGAAUCUUGGAUUCCAAAGAUCCGCUAA